AAAAAUUUAGUUAAAAAAUAACAUUGGCUUGUCAAGCCAAAAUUACUUCCCGUAGUAAUUUUUA
This 64-nucleotide transfer RNA is filed under the name Dicerca corrugata. RNAcentral describes it as "tRNA-Asp". Lineage: Eukaryota; Metazoa; Arthropoda; Insecta; Coleoptera; Buprestidae. The record is from RNAcentral.